UACGUAGGGGGCAAGCGUUGUCCGGAUUCAUUGGGCGUAAAGAGCGUGUAGGCGGCCUGAAAGGUCAGCUGUGAAAACUCGAGGCUCAACCUCGAGACGUCGGUUGAAACCAUCUGGCUAGAGUCCGGAAGAGGAGUGUGGAAUUCCCGGUGUAGCGGUGAAAUGCGCAGAUAUCGGGAAGAACACCCGUGGCAAAGGCGGCACUCUGGGACGGUACUGACGCUGAGACGCGAAAGCGUGGGGAGCGAACAGG
RNAcentral lists this ribosomal RNA (253 nucleotides) under uncultured bacterium. RNAcentral describes it as "partial 16S ribosomal RNA". It matches the Rfam family "Bacterial small subunit ribosomal RNA", at positions 524 to 776 of the family's 1533-position model. The record is from RNAcentral.